This is a ribosomal RNA of Hucho hucho (huchen), 120 nucleotides long. Lineage: Eukaryota; Metazoa; Chordata; Actinopteri; Salmoniformes; Salmonidae. The record is from Ensembl.
GCUUACGGCCAUACCAGCCUGAAUGCGCCCGAUCUCGUCAGAUCUCAGAAGCUAAGCACGGGUCGGGCCUGGUUAGUACUUGGAUGGGAGACUGCCUUGGAAUACCCGAUGCUGUAAGCA